ACCGCGAAACUGCGAAUGGCUCAUUAAAUCAGUUAUCGUUUAUUUGAUAGUACCUUACUACAUGGAUAACCGUGGUAAUUCUAGAGCUAAUACAUGCUAAAAAUCCCGACUUCGGAAGGGAUGUAUUUAUUAGAUUAAAAACCAAUGCCCUUCGGGGCUCUCUGGUGAUUCAUAAUAACUUCUCGAAUCGCACGGCCUUGCGCCGGCGAUGGUUCAUUCAAAUUUCUGCCCUAUCAACUUUCGACGGCUGGGUCUUGGCCAGCCAUGGUGACAACGGGUAACGGAGGGUUAGGGCUCGACCCCGGAGAAGGAGCCUGAGAAACGGCUACUACAUCCAAGGAAGGCAGCAGGCGCGCAAAUUACCCAAUCCCGACUCGGGGAGGUAGUGACAAUAAAUACUGAUACAGGGCUCUUUUGGGUCUUGUAAUUGGAAUGAGUACAAUUUAAAUCCCUUAACGAGGAACAAUUGGAGGGCAAGUCUGGUGCCAGCAGCCGCGGUAAUUCCAGCUCCAAUAGCGUAUAUUAAAGUUGUUGCAGUUAAAAAGCUCGUAGUUGAACCUUGGGCCUGGCUGGCCGGUCCGCCUCACCGCGUGCACUGGUCCGGCCGGGCCUUUCCCUCUGGGGAACCGCAUGCCCUUCACUGGGUGUGUCGGGGAA
RNAcentral lists this ribosomal RNA (657 nucleotides) under Coniochaeta sp. RNAcentral describes it as "SSU rRNA". It matches the Rfam family "Eukaryotic small subunit ribosomal RNA", at positions 78 to 741 of the family's 1831-position model. Lineage: Eukaryota; Fungi; Ascomycota; Sordariomycetes; Coniochaetales; Coniochaetaceae. The record is from RNAcentral.